GACGAACCGUGCGAACGUUGUUCGGAAUCACUGGGCUUAAAGGGCGCGUAGGCGGGCGGCCAAGUCGAGGGUGAAAGCCCCCAGCUCAACUGGGGAAGUGCCUCCGAUACUGGCCAUCUCGAGGGAGGUAGGGGCGUGCGGAACUUCCGGUGGAGCGGUGAAAUGCGUAGAUAUCUGGAGGAAUACCGGCGGCGAAGGCGGCAUCCUGGACCGGCAUUGACGCUGAGUGAGCGAAAGCCAGGGGAGCAAACGGG
RNAcentral lists this ribosomal RNA (254 nucleotides) under uncultured bacterium. RNAcentral describes it as "partial 16S ribosomal RNA". It matches the Rfam family "Bacterial small subunit ribosomal RNA", at positions 524 to 776 of the family's 1533-position model. The record is from RNAcentral.